RNAcentral lists this unclassified non-coding RNA (226 nucleotides) under Hevea brasiliensis (rubber tree). The record is from RNAcentral. Lineage: Eukaryota; Viridiplantae; Streptophyta; Magnoliopsida; Malpighiales; Euphorbiaceae.
UAAGCAAUUAAACAUCAAAAUUGUGUCAGAUGGUAAAAGCAAAAGAUUUGCAUGAGCUUAAAAAAAUGCCUCAGAUUAGCAUUUUGGCACAUUCCUCAUCGCAAGCAACAACCCAUGUAGGAGAAAACUCUACACAGAGCGCAAAAAUUGUUGUUGCCGUUCAUGUCCAAAAGUUCUCCUCAUCGGCAGUAACAAGUCAAGCAAAUCAAUUCAAUUAUAGUUAAAG